GACGAACGCUGGCGGCGUGCUUAACACAUGCAAGUCGAACGCUGAAGCUUGGUGCUUGCUCUGGGUGCAUGAGUGGCGAACGGGUGAGUAAUACGUGAGUAACCUGCCCUUGACUCUGGGAUAAGCCUGGGAAACUGGGUCUAAUACUGGAUACGACAUUCCACUGCAUGGUGGUGUGUGGAAAGGGGUUUACUGGUUUUGGAUGGGCUCACGGCCUAUCAGCUUGUUGGUGGGGUAAGGGCCUACCAAGGCGACGACGGGUAGCCGGCCUGAGAGGGUGGCCGGCCACACGAGGACUGAGAGACGGCGCAGACUCCUACGGGAGGCAGCAGGGGGGAGUAUUGCACAAUGGGGGGAAGUCUGAGGCAGCGAUGCCGCGUGAGUGAUGACGGCCUUCGGGUGGUAAACCUCUUUGAGAACGGAAGAAGCGAGAGUGACGGUACGUGCAGAAGAAGCGCCGGCUAACUACGUG
RNAcentral lists this ribosomal RNA (472 nucleotides) under uncultured bacterium. Its description in RNAcentral is "partial 16S ribosomal RNA". It matches the Rfam family "Bacterial small subunit ribosomal RNA", at positions 28 to 507 of the family's 1533-position model. The record is from RNAcentral.